GGGUGACAGGGUGAGACUCUGUCUCAAAAAACAAAACAAAACAAAACAAAACAAAAUAAAAAUAAAACCCAAGACCCUAGCAAGGCAGAGACACACAAGCAGCUGGAUGUUGUAAGGAAUACAUCGGUGGAAGAAGACAUAAGUGGCUGGUUGUCAAGAGCAUGCCGAAGGAAGAGCACACUGACAGGCACCAGCAGGCCAGCACACCAGUAGGCCAACAACUGGCAGAACGACAUGGAGUUUGGCCGAGGCAGCUGGAAGAGAGCCCAGGCUGCCGAGUGGCCCGACUCCAGGGGAAAACAGUCUCCCUCUGGCUCCCUCGUCUGCUGAGAGCUACUUCCAGUCAAUAAAACCUUGCACUCAUUCUCCAAGCCCACAUGUGAUCUGAUUCUUCCAGUACACCAAGGCAAGAAACCUUGGGGUACAGAAAGCCCUCUGCCCUUGUGACAAGGUAGAGGGUCUAAUUGAGCUGACCAACACAAGCCACCUAUAGAUGGCAGGCUAAAAGAGCACCCUGUAACACACGCCCACUGGGGCUUCAGGGGCCAUAAACAUUCAUUCCUAGACAUUGGCAUGGGGUCAGAGCCCACAGCCUGCCCGUCUGUAUGCUCCCCUAGAGGUUUGAGCAGCUGGGCACUGAAGAAGUGAGUCACACCCCCAUCACACUCCCUGCAAGGGGAGCAAGGGAACCUUUCCCAUUUCAACUGGGGGCUCGCCCGGGAUCCUGGAAGAAUGGGCAACCCGUUCUCUUCACCACCCCCAGCUUAUACUCCUCUGGAGUGUAUCCUGAACCACUGGAACUGCUUGGACUCUCAGAGUCUGGAGGAAAAGUGCCUCAUAUCCCUCUGCACAAAGAAACCCUCAAACUCCAAACCGUCAGGCAACCGGAGCCUCAAACGAUGGCUCCCCUUUGCUAGGAACCCUUAGAUAGACCUCUGGGAGGAGUCUGACUGCCGUUUUCCCCAAAACAACGCCCCUGUCAACAGGAAACAGCUAAGACCGGUCAUCGUCCAUAUUCUAGUGGCAGUUAGAUGUACCUCUUUAAAGGGGGGAUAUGAUAAGGGAGUGCUGGGAAGGGAAGAGCGUGGUCCCUUUAAAUGAUACAGAAGCAGAGAGGGGAAGAGCUGGGUAGAAGAAGGCGGGUUCCUGGCUAGGGCUUCACCCCCAAGGACCUAGGUGAGGACAGGCACUUCUGCUUUCACGUCCAAAUGUUGCAAUUUCCAAGACCACCCUGGCCCACCACCACCUGGCCCCAUCCUGGGCCUAUAAAAACUGAGACCUUAACAAGGCAGAGACACACAAGCGACUGGACAUUGUGAGGAACACAUAGGUGGAAGAAGACACAAGCGGCUGAUCGUCGAGAGCACGCAGGCAGAAGAGCACAUUGACAGGCACCGGCAUGCCCGCAGGCCAUCAACUGGUGUAAUGACAUGGAGUUUGGCUGGGGCAGUCUGAGGAGAGCCUGGGCUGCCGAGCUGCCCAACUCCAGGGGAAAACAAUUUCCCUCUGGCUCCCCUGUCUGCUGAGAGCUACUUCCACUCAAUAAAACCUUGCACUCAUUCUGCAAGCCCAUGUGUGAUCUGAUUCUUCUAGUACACCAAGGCAAGAAACCCAGGGAUACAGAAAGCCCUCUGUCCUUGAGACAAGGUAGACGGUCUAAUUGAGCUGACUAACACAAGCUGCCUAUGGAUGGCAAACUAAAAGAUCACCCUGUAACACACGCCCACUGGGGCUUCAGAAGUUGUAAACAUUCACCCCUAGACACUGCCAUGGCAUCAGAGCCCCAC
Molecule: long non-coding RNA, 1787 nt
Filed under: Homo sapiens (human)
Lineage: Eukaryota; Metazoa; Chordata; Mammalia; Primates; Hominidae
Description: HSALNT0122432
Source: RNAcentral